GAUGAACGCUGGCGGCGUGCCUAAUACAUGCCAGUCGAGCGAACAGAUAAGGAGCUUGCUCCUUUGAAGUUAGCGGCGGACGGGUGAGUAACACGUGGGUAACCUACCUAUAAGACUGGGAUAACUUCGGGAAACCGGAGCUAAUACCGGAUAACAUUUAGAACCGCAUGGUUCUAAAGUGAAAGAUGGUUUUGCUAUCACUUAUAGAUGGACCCGCGCCGUAUUAGCUAGUUGGUAAGGUAACGGCUUACCAAGGCGACGAUACGUAGCCGACCUGAGAGGGUGAUCGGCCACACCGGAACUGAGACACGGUCCAGACUCCUACGGGAGGCAGCAGUAGGGAAUCUUCCGCAAUGGGCGAAAGCCUGACGGAGCAACGCCGCGUGAGUGAUGAAGGGUUUCGGCUCGUAAAACUCUGUUAUUAGGGAAGAACAAAUGUGUAAGUAACUGUGCACAUCUUGACGGUACCUAAUCAGAAAGCCACGGCUAACUACGUG
This 497-nucleotide ribosomal RNA is filed under the name uncultured bacterium. RNAcentral's name for it is "partial 16S ribosomal RNA". It matches the Rfam family "Bacterial small subunit ribosomal RNA", at positions 28 to 507 of the family's 1533-position model. The record is from RNAcentral.